GCAUAGUUUACAUGGUGAUAUAAAGAGGCUAAAGACAUUGUUGGCAGAGGGGCGUGUGUUCUGUGAUUUGCCUGCAUUAGCAGCUAGAGACAGCAUUCUGAUAAGGGAUACCAAACUUGAGAAUUCACUGAUCUGCCAACCUCAACAAAGGAAUCUCCAUGGUCGUAUUUUUGGCGGGUUUCUGAUGAACCUAGCAUUUGAACUUGCAUUUUCGACUGCUUAUGCAUUUGUUGGGCAGAUGCCAUGCUUUCUUGAAGUGGAUCAUGUUGAUUUCUUAAAACCUGUGAGUAGCAAGUCUUACAUCUUUACUGAAUCUGAUAUUUUUUCUUUGUGUACGUUAUCAAACUUUUUUCCCUUUCACUUCAACAUAACCAAGGAACAUCUCACUCACGAUGGAUGUAUACAGUGAAUCUUAUACCUGUUAUCUGUCUAAUAUUUGAGCACUCGACACUAGCUGUAUGUGUAUGCAUGACACUAUAUGUAUACAUAGAUCAAAAUUUUGCUACACUGGAAAUGACAUGUUCAUAGCAUAAUCAUUUAUUACACUUACUCAGGUUGACGUGGGGGACUUCCUUCGACUUAAAUCUUGUGUUCUUUAUACACAACUAGAGAACCCAGCACAGCCUCUGAUCAACGUUGAAGUUGUUGCUCAUGUAACGAGACCUGAGCUUCGAACCAGUGAGGUAAGACAAUCGAAGAAGCAUGUGAUUUGUAGUAUUCAAUUGCAACUUGAAUUCAUGAGUAGCGUCACCUUGUCUGUGUGCCUGAUGCAGAUAUCAAACAUGUUCUACUUCACUUUUACUGUAAAUCCUGAUGCCCUAAAGAAUGGACUAAAGAUUCGCAAUGUAGUUCCUGCCACAGAAGAAGAAGCCCGUCGUGUACUUGAGCGAAUGGAUGCGGAGGAAAUAUUUGCUUAACUAUAUACAUAGGCAUGUGCCAUUUGAAUGGCCAGACUGUCUUCUGCCAGUUCACAUCCAUAUAAUUUAUGCAAUAAGAUUGAACACCAUUUAGGAAUGUCACUGUCUUUACAUAAUUCGACAGCAACUUAUAAGGCUUUGUUACGUAUAAACAUUUUUGCCGCAACUUUUUUCCGAAUAAAAUUUGUAAAAGCAAGGAAGUAGUUUCUGAAAUCAAGUUUAAUUACCCCUUGUUUCCUGUUGGCAAACUUGUUUGCUGUGACCUAUGGGAUGCAAGAUUCAAGGAAAAUUAAUCGCCUCAUUCUCAGUAUUAUUUAUCAAUGUAUUUGGUGUUGUUUAUUGUUCUUUGUGUGUCAUGAUUCUUCUUUUAGUGUUUUGUAAAUGAGAAAUCUAUCAAUUAGGAGAUCUGCAGCUGCUGCUUCUGCUGCCAAUUAGAGGGGGUAUGACUCCUAUUUUCAGCAUUGGUGAGAAUCUCUGCUGCUAUGUAGCCUACCAGAUGCUCUAGUCUUAACUGAUAGUUAACAGAUAUCAUGUCACCCCAUAAAAAUAUUCACAGUAUAUCAUUCAAGAUCAUGUAAAAGACUAAUAAAUAAACUUAGUAAAUCUGGAUGUUAUUGAAGUUAAUCAUCAUAUUUCACCUGUCUGAAGCUAUAAAAAAGUUCUACAUCUCAUUCACUGCAGAAUUGUAGAUGCAUAAUUAUAGUAACAUCUUAUUUAAAAUCCUUAAGGGACAAAGUGUUAGGAUUCAAUAAGAAUACAUACAAUGAAUCUAUUUGCACAUUAAUUUCUGUUAGUACUGUGUGUAUACCUCAUUAAAAGUAAGCUCUGAAGAACAGAUUCUCAAAACUCAGUGAAGCCACUCUUUAUUUUUCUAGAUACAGAUCGGAGCAAAAUAGUUUUGUAUCAAAACGUCAACCCCUUGAGCGGAGAAAUAUAAUAUCUUGAUUUAGUCUGAAAUGUGGGUAAAGAAUUAGACUGAUUCAUCGGUGCAUUACUGUUAGCAUGAGUUUAAACAUUUUACACCAAUAAUCUAAAAAUAAAUUAAUAAUCAUUAUUAUUGUAAUUGAAUCAAGUUGCUAAUUAAGCAAACAAGAUGAGCUAACAAUGGCUUGGCAGGAUGUUCUAAGCUUCCAAUUAGAAUGGCAAUGGUUUGGUUUAGCCAAAUAGUAAACAAAUGGAAAAGGUUAAUCUUCUUCAAACAAAGUCAAAGUCAAAGUCCAACUAAGUGGGUGUGUUUAAAUUAUUAUUUUUAUCAAUUUUAAAGACCUCAACAAAUUUAAUUGAUCAAUGUUUUAACAUGAAUUUCAUCUUUAUCAUUUAUUCUUUAUAAAUAAUAAUAAAAAUUUUUAACUUGAUGAAUCAUAUCGUGAAGAUUCUUUUAAGGUAAAUUAAUUGAUCAAAUGAAACCAUACAUAAUGAAAGCAAAUAUAUGUUAAUGGUGAAAGCAUAAUGUUGGCAAAUCUUAAAUGUUUGAAUGGAGCAAGUAAUAAAUUAAAAGCUAAUUUGGCCAAUAAUCAUAAAACUACAACAUUUGGGUGUUGCAAUCUUCUUCGCCAACCAACCAUUACUUGUCCUAACUUUGCUCAAUGGUUGGUUCCACAGUUGUCUCCUAUUCCUCCCACUGCACGAUGUAACCUUCCCUCUCACCUCCUCAUCUCUCUCACCACAGUUUUCUUCACCCAAAGCAAACCCUCAGCCUCACAUCACUCUCACUUUCCAUCUUCAACUCAACAUCCUCCGAAUCCCUCACCCAUUCUUCCAUUAUCCCCAUCCAAAGUCUUCCCCAAAUCCCCCUUUUCACCCCCAAUUCUUCACCAAGAUCGGAUCUUUCUGCCCCCAAACCGCUCUGUUCUUCCUCCCAAUCCGAAUUCUUGUCUGCGACAAUUGAUCCCGAGAUGGCGUCUUUUCAAUCCGAAUGCAGCGAGACCAGCUCGAGCUCUUGAAAGAUCGAAUCUUUUCGAUCCGAAAUCGCCCCGUUCCACCUCUCAAAUCAGGUUCAUGUCGUCUUCUGCUGCCGGAAAACCGCCUCAAGGAUCGUCUCCCGCCGCCAUUAGUCCAGAUUCGCCUUCGCCGAUCCAAGUCGUUUCGACGUUCGCAUUGCCGUUCGAUGAGUCUCCCGCCUCACAUCGAUGCGAGCUCGUCGAUCAGGAAGCCGCUUAGCUUGUGGUCGGGACUGUACCAUUCCCCGGUGACCAAUGCUCUCUGGGAGGCGCGUUCCGAGGACGGGGCGCAGUCGGAGUUGCUCACGAGGCCACCACCAUAGAGCAGGACGAGCAUCAUCUUCAACUUUUCGAGUGAUUACAUCCUACGGGAGCAGUACCGGGAUCCCUAAAACGACGUCAGGAUUGGGAAGUUGCUUGAGGAUCUCGAUGCGCUUGCUGGCGCCAUUGCUGUGAAGGUAGCCACUAGACUCGAGUCUAUAUCAACUAUAACAUCUGGUUAUCUCUAUAGUUGAAAUGAAGCUUGACAUCGAUAAGAAGAAAGAGAGGUGUAUUGAUUGACCCAUCUAUGUUUCACUUAAGGUUUGAGUACUUUGUCAUCAGCAGACUAGCUAUUAUGAGUCUAUAUGGAUAAAAUGGAUAAAUAAACCAAAGACAAUUUUUUAUAAUUGUUAACUGGCAGCCGAAAUCAUUAUGGAUUCAGUUUCUUUGUGUGCGUAGAAACCAGAAAUCCUCCAAUCCUUUUUGGCUUUCAACUUGCAAGUAAAUGAAGUUACACAAAACACUUAGAAAUACAUUAUAAUGUCAUAAUAUUAAACUAACACUUGUCAGAGUUGCUAGUUAUAGAGAUUGAUGUAUAAUUGGAUCCCUUUAAGCAUGAUGGAUUUUGUAUAGUAAAGAAAGACAAUUUACAGCAUCAUUUGCUGUAAUCUUGGUGUGGUUGAGGAAACUUUAUGGAAAAUAAUAUUGGCUUCUUGUGUGGAAAUCAUAACUUAAUAUGGUUUGGUGGACAAAAUAUUUUCUUUAGAACAAUGAACCAAAUGAAAGAAAAGGAGGUAAUAACCUUCAAGCGACCAAGACAUCCGAUAGCAAAUAACCAAUUAGUAUCUUUUUAAAAAAAAUUUAAAUGUACAAGUUACUUUCUGAUCAUCCUAAUCAAGAAUGUUUAAUUAAACUGGUAAGGAGGUUGGUUUCAUCAAAGUGAACUAUAGAUGAUUGAAUCAUAACAAUUAUUGUUGUAAUUGAAUCAAGUUGCUAAUCAAACAAUGAUGAGCCAACAAUGCCCUAACAGACAUCUUAGCCGAAGAGCAAACAGAUAGAAACAUACUCGAUCUUGGAAAAUGGUUGUAGGUCAAUAUUCUUAAAAUAAAGUCAAAGUCCAAGUAGGUGGGUGUGUUCAAAUUAUUGUUUUAUCCAAGGUCUUCAAUUUUGAAUAAUACCGCCCAGUAUGGGCGGCACAUACCGGUCCGUCAACAGACCGGUAGACGGACCGCCCGGUAAUAUAUAUAUAUAUAUAUAUAUAUAUAUAUAUAUAUAUAUAUAUAUAUAUAUAUAUAUAUAUAAUUUAUAUAUUUAUUUAUAUUUAUGUAUUUAUUUAUUUAUUUAUUUAUUUAUUUAUAAAAGGCGACAUCGCNNNNNNNNNNNNNNNNNNNNNNNNNNNNNNNNNNNNNNNNNNNNNNNNNNNNNNNNNNNNNNNNNNNNNNNNNNNNNNNNNNNNNNNNNNNNNNNNNNNNNNNNNNNNNNNNNNNNNNNNNNNNNNNNNNNNNNNNNNNNNNNNNNNNNNNNNNNNNNNNNNNNNNNNNNNNNNNNNNNNNNNNNNNNNNNNNNNNNNNNNNNNNNNNNNNNNNNNNNNNNNNNNNGUAGCCUUUUAUAAAAAUAUUUAUAUAUAAAAAAUCUUUUAUAUAUAAAUAUAUAUAUAAGAUUUUGGCAACGUCGCCUCGUUUUUCUACGAUGUCGCCCCGUGGGGAGAAGAGAGAGGCGACGUCGCCGAAUUUUUUUUUUAUUUUAUAAAAAUAUUUAUAUAUAAAAAAAUCUUUUAUAUAUAAAUAUAUAUAUAUUUAUGGAUAAAUAUUUAUAUAUAAAUAUAUAUAUAUAAGAUUUUGGCGAUGUCGCCAUAUUUUUCUGCGACGUCGCCCCGAGGGGAGAAGAGAGAGGCGACGUCGCCCCAUUGAUAUAAAGGUAGCCAGUAGACUGAGUCUAUAUGUUCCUCUAGUUAGGCAUGUAGUUGAAAUGAAGCUUGGCAUCAAUAAGAAGAACGAGAGGUGUAUUCAUUUUCCCAUCUAAGUUUCACAUAAGCUUUGGGUACCUUGUCAUUGGCAGACUAAUUUGUUCUUGGUGCUUUGAAGCUAUUAUGAUGUUUAGAAGAUGGAUAAAUAAACUAAAAAACAAACUUUCAUAUUGGAACCUAUUGAUCUGUUCAUUGGCAGGUCAAAUGAUGUAAACUCAGUUUCUUUUUGUGAGUAAAAACCACAGAUCCUGUCAUCUUGUUGCUUGCAACUUACAAGUAAAUGAAGUUACACAAAACACUUAGAAAUACUCUAUAAGUAGAACUUUGGUUGUUAACCCACUACAACCUGUCAUAAUAUUAAACUGAGAAUGUUGUAAACAUUUCUGGUUAUUGAAUUCUCAGCCUCAUGGUUCUCUUUCAGCAAAAUGGAAUUUUUAAAGAAACACAAUUUACAGCAUCACUUCCUGUAAACUGUGUGUGACUGGACAAACUAUACAGAAAACUAUAUGGCUCCUUGUGUGGAAUUCCAUAAUGCAUCACUUGGUUUAAAUUGAACUAGAUCCUUUUGCAAUUACAAAACUCUUCUAUUUGCUUUUUACUAUAAAAUUGUUAUAUUAUGAUUUACACUAUGCCAAAAUUUCUAGUCAUUAACAUAAACUUUUUGAUAAUUUCAUUUUAUCUGAAAUUUGGCAUUUAUAUGUAAGUUUUUGAAGUGCAUUUGUUGCAUGAGACCAGCAUUGUUCUGAUGAUGAUAGCACUACAAGGCCUCUCUUGUUGGUCACUGCUUCGGUAGAUAAGAUGGUUCUAAAGAGGCCAUUGCGUGUAGACACUGACCUAAGGAUAGCAGGUGCUGUCACAUGGGUUGGUCAUUCAUCCAUUGAGGUACAGAUUGAAGUUACUCAACAAGGUAUUUGUGAUGAUUCUAUCUGGUAAAUGGAGUGAAAAUAUUCAUUUAUACCUCUGGUUCAUAUAUUGGACAUUUAUAGGUCUCAUUGGUAUGACCACUAAUAAUCAUACAAGAAUAUAUAGGAAAGGACGCUCAUCACCAAUCGUAAUCAUGAACUUGUGACCCCUUUUUUCUUUGGAAAUCUGGAAGUUACUAACUCCAGCAAUUAUCUGUCCAUGAGUUCUCAUAUCCUUAUAAUGAUAGACCGAAUAGCUCACUGCUCAAUUCUAGUGCAGUCUCCAAGAUGGAAAAGAAUUCAUGAUCUCCUAUCUCAUGAGUACUUAUUUGCUUAAAUUUUGCUAUACGAAUUCAUGCAGGUGUCAAGCAUGUUUAGUGCAUUAAAUCACCCUGUUUUUUCUCUGGUGACUUUCGUUAUGGUGCACUGUAUUGUUACGGACAAACUUCUAAACAAGGUGUUUGAUGUAAUGCUUAUGUAUGUCCGUGUCUUUUGGCAUAUUCAUGCCUUGUACAGCAUGUAAAGGGGCGGCCGAAGGCUUAAUAGUCACAUUUUAGUUGGGUUGGUGGUCUCUUUAGGCUUGUAAAUAAAGGUUGUGUCAUGUAGACACGUGCGAGAGAUUUUCGGUCUGUAAUGGACCAUUUUACCCUUUGUUGUGCUACUGUUCAGAGCUUGUAAAGUAUGUUUGUAAUUUGCAUUGUCUAUGAAGUGUUUUUCGGAGAUGUUUGCUUGUGGAUUCCGAUUGAGAUGUUCUCUCUAGCCCGUUCUCUCUCUUGUUGGUCCUAAGGGACAAUGGGAGUCUUCGGGGAGGCUGACCUUUGCGGACGGACACGUAAGGGUGCCGCACGACUUAGGCAAAACCAGCUAAGUCUGUGACAGUAUGGCAGAUGACUCUCAAUCAUCAGAUCCACUGGCUUUGACAGUAAAUUUCACAUUCGUCGCAUGUGACUCUAGGACCGGAAAGUCAACUUCUGUAAACCGCCUGUUACCAGAAACUGAACAAGAAAAGUUGCUCUUUGAGGAAGGAGAAGAAAGGGAUAAAGUUCGGAAAGGGAAACCAGAGGAACAGAAAAGAACUUUUGAGAAUGGUGGGCAUAGUUUGCAUGGCGAUAUAAAGAGGCUAAAGAUGUUGUUGGCAGAGGGGUGUGUGUUUUGUGAUUUGCCUGCAUUAGCAGAUAGAGACAGCAUUCAAAUAAGGGAUACCGAACUUGAGAAGUCACUGAUCUGCCAACCUCAACAAAGGAAUUUCUAUGGUCGUAUUUUUGGGGGUUUUCUGAUGAACCUAGCAUUUGAACUUGCCUUUUCAACUGCAUAUGCAUUUGUUGGGCGGACGCCAUGCUUUCUUGAAGUGGA
This 7339-nucleotide long non-coding RNA is filed under the name Musa acuminata (dwarf banana). RNAcentral's name for it is "long non-coding RNA (MACU_LNC005831)". The record is from RNAcentral. Lineage: Eukaryota; Viridiplantae; Streptophyta; Magnoliopsida; Zingiberales; Musaceae.